This 71-nucleotide transfer RNA is filed under the name Loxodonta africana (African savanna elephant). It matches the Rfam family "tRNA". From Rfam's summary of the family: Transfer RNA (tRNA) molecules are approximately 80 nucleotides in length. Their secondary structure includes four short double-helical elements and three loops (D, anti-codon, and T loops). Further hydrogen bonds mediate the characteristic L-shaped molecular structure. tRNAs have two regions of fundamental functional importance: the anti-codon, which is responsible for specific mRNA codon recognition, and the 3' end, to which the tRNAs corresponding amino acid is attached (by aminoacyl-tRNA synthetases). tRNAs cope with the degeneracy of the genetic code in two manners: having more than one tRNA (with a specific anti-codon) for a particular amino acid; and 'wobble' base-pairing, i.e. permitting non-standard base-pairing at the 3rd anti-codon position. The record is from Rfam by way of RNAcentral. Lineage: Eukaryota; Metazoa; Chordata; Mammalia; Proboscidea; Elephantidae.
GCGGUGGUAGUUUAGCAGAAGAAUGCUGGCUUUCCAAGCAGAAGACCCAGGUUUGAUUCCCAGCCAAUGCA